CUGAGAGAAACUGAGCUCUGGAAUGUUAGGUAACUCUCUCAAGGCCAUGAUAGUGGCGAGAGGCAGAGCCAGACUACAAUCUCCGCGUCCCGGCCGAGGCUUAGAGUAUUAGCCGUUGUUCCAGCAGCAUUUCCUCGAUGACAGGAGGGAAAUGCUAGAGCUUCUUUUUAGUUCUGGGAUCUGAUCCUUCUUGGGUCUGAACAUCUUUCACAACGCCAGCCAUCGGCUUAUAGAGGAGAUUGCUGAUUGUCUCCAAAAUCCAUUCUCUAAUUCUUCAGUAAUAAAAUGUCAAAUGUUACCAAGGCCCAUGGUUGCUCUGCCUCAUUCCCCAGUAUACCUGACAGUGAACUCAUGUCUGAGGACUGGUCAGCAGGAUGUAAGGGAGAGUGGUGAGCACUUCUCUUUCUUUUCUUUUUUCUUUUUUUUUCUUUUUGAGACAGAGUCUCGCUUUGUUGCUGGGGACUGGGGUGCAGUGGUGCCAUCUCAGCUCACUGCAACCUCCGUCUUCCAGGUUCAAGUGAUUCUCCUGCCUCAGCCUCCUGAGUAGCUGGGACUGCAGGUAUGUGUUACCAUGCCUGGCUAAUUUUUGUAUUUUUAGUACAGAUGGGGUUUCACUGUGUUGUCCAGGCUGGUCUCGAACUCCUGACCUCUGGUGAUCCUCUCACUUUGGCCUCCGAAAGUGCUGAGAUUACAGGCAUGUGCCACCGCACCUGGCCAGUGAGCACUUUAAAGAACUAGAAUGUACCCUUCUCUGUUCCUUUCCUCCUGACCAGUGACUGAAACGCUGAACCAAGCUUGGAGCUGGAGCAGCCAUUUUGGGCCACGAGGUAGAAGCCAUGUGUUGAAGAGAAUGGAACAAGAUGGAAGAAACCUGGUGAUCAGGGAGCCGCCAUAACAGUCUUGGGUUGUCUCUGUUUACAUGAGAGAUGAGGAAACUGAGGCUCAGAGAGGUUAAAUAUCUUCCUCAAGAAUUUUCGCCAGAGCUGGGAUUUGAACCAAGGUCUGCUUGACUUAGAAGGCAGUGGUCCUUGCUUUCUCCCGAGGAGAAGGGAGCAGAGAUACCUAAAGAUGCCUGACUCCCAAUCCCAUGGGAACAUGCCCCCUGCGGGCUCACUUCCUCUCCUCUUUGUCUUCAAUUUCUAAGAAUGUCUUCUUUUCACUAAAACAAAACACUCCAGAAUGCAUUCUGCAUGAAUAAAGACUGCCAACUCCAUGGCAGAAAUAACAUACCUUUUGGGAAUGUUUAUCACUUCUAAAAUGAUGAUAAAGAAAUUCAACAGUUUGUAUUUCUGGACGAACUAGGGGAGAAGAGGAAAUAAAGUAUCUACAGAGUAUCACAACACACCUACAGGAAGCUGAGCAAAGUAGACUAAUCACACUGGGCCCGGAGGACGGCUGGUAACAGAAACCUCAACGUUUAUCUGAAGUGACUGCUCAUCCCCGGGCACCACGGUGACAGGUGUGAUAGAAAGAUAAAACCCUAGACUCUGCUGCUCACCUGCCGUUGGGCCUUGGUCAAGCCACUUCUCUCUGAGCUUCAACUGCCCCAUCUGUAAGAGGAUAACAAUUCCGGCCUCAGGGGGUCAUCAUAGCAACAAAUGAGGAACCUGUAAAUUAGUGCGAAAACACCCCACUUACUACUACUGUUUUUAAAUGAUUGUGAGAGUAAAAAGGGCCUUCGUGUUCAGAACCCAAUCAGCUUAGAGUGAAUUGUAGCACUUGGCAAAUACUGCCUUUUCUGCUUGGAAACUUCACUUAAAAAGAAAAAAAAAAUGAGGUCAAAGAGCGAUUCCUAAAGCAAAAGAAAAUUGCUAAACUUUAGACUAUUCCUGACCCCAAAGUCCUCCUUCAGACCAUGUUUCCCCUUUUUCACUCAUAUCUAGCCCAACAUGCAUAAAUCCUUGCUUCUACCAGAGGGCCACACAGAGGAAUGGACAGACAGGAAGAGUCUUUGCCCAAUUAGUUUCACUUCCUCCCUGGCACCCCAUGGUCACAGCCCUGGAGAAUUGUUUUCUGCGGCGCUGAGGGCUACAUUUUCGUUUUAACCAGCGCAAGGUAGGCAAGAGACUUAAGUCAGAGAGCUUGAUGAUGUAAUGAAUUUGCCAGCUGCCAACGACACUAGGACCUCAUCACAUUUCUUUGUUUUCCUUUCUAACCCCAAAUCUAGCAGGCAUCCCUGUUCUCAUUAACAAAGCCUCCUAUUAGCACCAUUGCUCCCUAACUACCAUCGGACCUCACAGGGAGAAGUUCUGUAUCGAGAACAGUAGAGCAAAAAGACAGGAGGAAAGCAAGUCCCCAACAUCAUGCAGCCCACAUACUAGCUCUGGAUGGCUUACGUACGAUGAAAUCUCCAAGAUGCCUUCCAAAAACCAGAUGACCCUGUCCUUUCUGGAACUACCGCCGUCCCUUGUAACUCUGUAAGCUUCAUUUCCAACCUCAUCCUGCUCUAACUCGAGCACAAACAUAAGUCUGUAGAACCACAGUGGCCUUGGGGGCAUCAUUCUCUUUGCCUUGUCAACAUUUCUAUUUUAUAUCCCUCCCUGCUCCUGUCUAGAGGUUGGUACUCAGUCUCCUGAGACUCAUCUUAUAGAUAGAGCUUGAUGGACCACGGGGAGAGGGCAUCACUCCUGCUACAGUCUGAAUGCACACACCUGGGGCCCAGCUGCCCAACCUUCCACCGCUGAAGUUCAAACAGUUGCAUCUUAGACAACUCCUCCACUUCUAAUCAGCCCAGCAUAGAGGGAGUUUGGAGGUGUCAGACACCCAUCAAUGGCUGAGAGAGAAAGAAAUAUAGUGAAAGACCUGUUAGCAGUUCUGUUGUGCCCAACAGAACUCUCAUUUGUCUUAUGUCUAAAAAGCUGGCCAUUGACUUUCAACAGGAUUUCACUGAUGCUAUUAGAAAAUAUUUUACCACUAAAUGAAAAUAAAGAUAAACUGCCUUUCUGAAGAUGCAAAAGGUAAGAGAUAAUACAUAAAAAUGCAAGUUGAUCAAAUUUCACUUGAUGUUUGAUGACCCUCAGUGUCCCAGAACAUUGCUUUGGGAAUUAUUUUCUCCUUUGAUCUUGCAGAACAGUGUGAAUGGACAUAGAGGCCAUUUGUAUAAAAGAGGAACCUAAGGACGUAGGGGAAAACAAAAGAAUCUGUCAGGGAUGGGAAAAGCACACCCAUUUAAAUAUGCAGAAACCUUAAUGCCAGUGUCUGGCUAGCUAUUAAGCAGUAAUUCCUUCUCUAUCCCUUAUCAUAUCUACCAGUUACUCUGCAAGAUUCUUCAGUGUAAAGAGCACUGUAAAAUGUAUUUUUCAGAUUUAUCUCGUCUUUUUGCCAGAUCAGCCCACCCCAUGCAUAUCUGCCAGCUGCCUCUUACACAAUCCCUCAGAGCCCACGGAGCUGCACUGUGGGCCCUCAGAUGAUCUGAUGCAGGUAUAGAACCCCUCCCCCACAUUCUUUUCUUGCUAGCUUGCCUCCAUUACAAACCAUCUUCCUCACUCAGAUAUUUUCAAUCCUGGUAGUUUUUGCUUGUUUGUUUGAGACAGGGUUUCACGCUGUCACCCAGGCUGGAGUGCAGUGGUGCAAUCAUAGCUCACUGCAGCCUUGACCUCCUGGGCUCAAGUGAUUCUCCUUCCUCAGCCUCCCAAAGUGCUGGGUUUACAGGCGUGAGCCACUGCACCUGACUUCCCCAGCAGUUUUGACCGUGAUCUCAUUUGCCUCUUUCUCCUGAUUAGGCCAGCAUUAGAGCAUCCAAGAGGCUGCAUAAUAUGGAAUAAACAUAGGUCAUUAGAUUUAAAUCAAAAUUCUGGCUUUUUACUUCCUAGCGAUGCAAGCUUUGUUGAGUUCCUUAACUUUUCUUAGCACUUCUGCUUUUUAAAAAAAGUUGCUAUAAUACUAAAUCGUAGGAUUUUUGAGAUAACUAAAUGAGAAAAUGUGCAUAAGACUUGCAGCACCUUAAGUGCUCAGUAAAUAGCAACUCUUUUUUUCCCGCUUCUAUUUCCCAAAAUAGUCCUGGCUGGGAAGACUCAUUGUCACAGGCUACACUAAAUAGUUUGGUAUUAUUAUUACUCAGAUUUCAUUCAAUACUUUCAUUCAUCAUUCUAAGGAACACAAUAACAUGUCAUUUUUGGCAUCUGCCUCUGGGGAAGUAAUAGCGUCAUUUUUUCAUAGAUCAUUUUCAUAACUGGCCCUUUGCCCUCACAUAAUACCACAGGGUGGGCUCAGACCGAAACUGUCAAGAUCCUCAAUGGUUUCGCACUUAGCACCAGCCUCCGUUGGUCCCUUGGAAACCGGAACAGUACCAACCAAGAAGUUUCUACUUCGCUUCUACUCAGAUGGCACUGCCGAGAAAAGGUGGGAGGGCUGCCUGCUCAAGUGUGGCCUUUAAAGACAAAGUGGAGAAGAAAAAGAGGUGAGAAUGUGGUGCAGUAGUCUGUGAACCUGAGAUAUGCAGCGGUGGGAAAUAGCGGCCCCUAAGGAGCCAUUUGUAUAAACCAGUUCACAGCUACAUGCAAUGUGCCACCUGCAAACAGAGCCUCUGAGACAUAGAAAGGGUUUUCCAAUAUUGCUUUUACCAUAGAAAGGAUUAUGGCUCAUCUUGGUUCUCGGUGAAAUUUGGUUUGAUGCUGCCUGCACAGUUCCAGAGUUUCUUGGUCUAAGCCAGGGGCCACAGGCCCCCUUACAAACAAGAUGUUUUCUUUAAGAUAUAACUGAGGCUGCUGUAAAAAUGAGAGAUAAAAACAGAACUUUGUUUUUCUUAGGUAAGAGUGUGAGCAUAAGCCUUCCAGAGCUGCCAUGUGAUUCCAUGAUGUUGGGGAUGUAGUUUCUUCCUGUCUUUUUGCUCUAGUAUGCUCCAUACACAGCUUCCAUCUUGUGAUAGCACAUGGCUGCCCCAGCUGCCACUAUCCCAUCCACACUCCAACAGGCAGGAAGAAGAACUAGAGCAAGAGAAGACAUCCUGCUUUCCAUUAAAGGCAGUCUGGAAAUUCCAAGCAUCAAUUCCACAAUCAUCUCCUUGGCCAGAACUUAGUAACUGGCCCACACCUAGCUGCAAGGGAAGCUGGAAUUGUAAUCCUAGGGGGACCAUCAUGAGUCCAUCUGGAACAUUACUAUGGAAGAACAGAAUGCAAUAUUGGGGAACAGCUAGCACUCUGCACAAAGGACUAGACAGGAAUAUAAACCAGUGAUUCUUGCCAGGUGUAAGGACAUAUGUGUAUCUUUUGUGGGCAGUGGAGCACAGAGCAAACAGGGAGAGCCCCAUUUUAAGCAGCAGCCCCUUUCACCUUAGAUGAUGUGGUCAUGCAGAAAUUCAGGCUCCAUGUUCAACUCUGCUGUUUUCAAAAGAAGCCAGGAAUCAACAUUUUAAAAAAUAAUGAAAUCUUGGCCAGGCACGGUGGCUCAUGCUGUAAUCCCAGCACUUUGGGAGGCCAAGGCAGGUGGAUCACCUGAGGUCAGGAGUUCGAGACCAGUUUGGCCAACACGGAGAAAUCCCAUCUCCACUAAAAAAAAAAAAAAAAAAA
This 5507-nucleotide long non-coding RNA is filed under the name Homo sapiens (human). RNAcentral describes it as "HSALNT0071529". The record is from RNAcentral. Lineage: Eukaryota; Metazoa; Chordata; Mammalia; Primates; Hominidae.